Molecule: ribosomal RNA, 323 nt
Filed under: uncultured bacterium
Lineage: Bacteria
Description: bacterial SSU rRNA
Rfam family: Bacterial small subunit ribosomal RNA
Source: RNAcentral
GACGAACGCUGGCGGCGUGCCUAACACAUGCAAGUCGAGCGGGGACUUAUGGAAUGAAGCUUCGGCAGAAUGAAGUAAGUUCUAGCGGCGGACGGGUGAGUAACGCGUGAGCAAUCUGCCUUUCAGUGGGGGACAACAGUUGGAAACGACUGCUAAUACCGCAUAACGUCAUUCGGAGGCAUCUCUGAGUGACCAAAGAUUUAUUGCUGAAAGAUGACCUCGCGUCUGAUUAGCUAGUUGGUGAGGUAAUAGCUCACCAGGGCGACGAUCAGUAGCCGGACUGAGAGGUUGAACGGCCACAUUGGGACUGAGAUACGGCCCAG